UAGGGAAUAUUGGGCAAUGGGCGAGAGCCUGACCCAGCCAUGCCGCGUGCCGGAUGAAGGCCUUCUGGGUUGUAAACGGCUUUUCUCAGGGAAGAAAAAGGGUAUGCGUACCACACUGACGGUACCUGAGGAAUAAGCACCGGCUAACUCCGUGCCAGCAGCCGCGGUAAUACGGAGGGUGCAAGCGUUGUCCGGAUUUAUUGGGUUUAAAGGGUGCGUAGGUGGCCUGGUAAGUCCGUGGUGAAAGCCUCUUGCUCAACAAGAGAACUGCCAUGGAUACUGCCGGGCUUGAGUCCAGACGAGGUUGGCGGAAUAGAGGCUGUAGCGGUGAAAUGCAUAGAUAGCCUCUAGAACCCCGAUUGCGUAGGCAGCUGACUAGGCUGGUACUGACACUGAGGCACGAAAGCGUGGGGAGCGAACAGG
RNAcentral lists this ribosomal RNA (423 nucleotides) under uncultured bacterium. Its description in RNAcentral is "bacterial SSU rRNA". It matches the Rfam family "Bacterial small subunit ribosomal RNA", at positions 355 to 776 of the family's 1533-position model. The record is from RNAcentral.